Peromyscus maniculatus bairdii (prairie deer mouse) is the source of this 2499-nucleotide non-coding RNA. The record is from RefSeq and is a predicted model, not a curated record. Lineage: Eukaryota; Metazoa; Chordata; Mammalia; Rodentia; Cricetidae.
CUGCCCAGCCUUUGCUAUGGCUCUAAUAGCUCUGACCCCCAGGCAACUUUAUUUAUUAACAUACAAUUAAAAUCACAUUUCAGUACAAAUAAAAUACCACCAUAAAGGCCUAGUAACUAUUUGGGACAUUAAAAUUUUAUUUUCUACAUUGGUCUAAAAUUAGAGUCUUAUUUGAAAAUGCUAUGUUUCAUUAACCAGUGUCAUGGUAUCUGCAUUUUAGAGUAUUUCUAUCUAAAUAAAGCAAAUCAAAGAGUCGGUGGUGCAUACCUUUAAUCCCAGCACUGGGGAUGCAGAGGUAGGAGAAUCUCUGUGAGUUCGAGGCUAGCUUGGUCUACAAAGCAAGUACCAGGACCCUGUUACACAGAGAAACCCUGUCUCGGAAUACCAAAAAGAAAAAAAGAAAAAAAAAAAAAAGCUUAUGUGUUUAUCAAAUCCUCACCUAGACAGCUGCUUUAUCAGUUACUAGGUAUCCAGGCACUGCCUGAUCUUCCCUGUUAAAAGCCAGGUCAGCUACACAUUCUGGUUGCUAGGCAGCUAUAGGGUAUCUAGUUCCUUCCAGACCUGUGUCUUAUGCCACCUGCAUUCCAUGCUAAUCUCUCUGAACUUCCCAGGGGCUUGCUAGAGCAUUUCUUGUUCGCUUCUUUGUUUAUCAUGUCAGCUAUAAAUGUUACAUUCUUUGCCAGCUUUUAUCAGGAGUAUUUCUGAAUGCUAAAUAUGGUAAAUUUAUAUUAAGUGACUCUAAAGCAUAUUAUUAAACAGACAUAGAUCAAAGCCAUGAAGCCAGUUGUGGAAUUUGGAAACAUGCAUGAGAAUAAAUUAGUAUUAAAAAGCAAAACAAAAACCUCUCCUUCUCUUCAGUUUUUAUGAAUUUGUUCAAAACAUGCUGGAAGGUAAAGAUAUGAGACAGAAAGAAUGGGGAAGAAAAGGAGGUAAAUAGACAUCUGGGGAGGAAGGAGGAGAGGACAAGACACAGAAGGGUGGAAGAACGUCAUUUUUGACUUGAAAGGUCAUUUUUGAGAAACAUUGUUAGUGGAUGUGAAUGGUCACACAGGCCCUGUGCAACAGGCUCAUAAAAGCUCUGUGUCUAGUUCUUUAGCUGCCUGGACUGGGAUUUCCUUGGGAACUACAAAUUUUACCUUUCUAGUGCUUUAGAAGGAUUACCUGACCCAAAGCAGGCCUGGUAUACAAGAGGUUGUCUCCUCAGAGGGACUGGUAGACCCCAAAGUUGUACUAAAACCUAUAGGAGUCUUCCAUAAUGCACAUUCGACUCUAGAAUUAUAGUUGAACUUCGGGAGGCCAUGUUUCCAUCAGAAGAGGCCCUGAGCUUUCCUUCCAAGAGAGGGGACAGCAGGCAUUUCAGACAGCAAGAUGGUUGUUUUCUUGGUUUUACUGAUGAUAGAAACAGCUACAUCUUUGCUUCUCUGUGGAAGAAGUGUUUGAACGAUGUUUAGGCAAGAGUAAAGGAAAAAGAAAGCCACAGCAAGUUGUCUAACUGGUAGGUGCAGACAGGGGUUCAAAGCCUAGUGAGUCUACUCUGAUGUUCAUGGGGUGCCAAGGACAAGACUCCACAGCUCCUUCACACCAGUGCCCAGACUGUGCUAGGGGAGUUUCUUGCCUGGCUUUCUGCAUUCAAACAGAGAUCUGCCCUGUGAAGAACUAAGCCAUGCAGAAGUCAGGGUCUCCCAGCACAUCUUCCAUCCUUUCUCUUGCUUUGUAUAAUAAAGCACUUCUUUUCCAAAACAAAACUAUUAGAACUAUAUAUUGUUUUAGAAAAAGAUUGUGUCCACAGAGAAUUUAUUGCUCAUCAUUUUAUAGGAGAGUAGACUGUUUGGUUAUAGUUUAAAUUAUCCUACUUUGUUAUACAGAUGAGACAUGAUUUUAUCAUAAUGUCAUUAAUUUUAUGUUCCGCUAUAAUGUGCUAAACGUAUCCCCAUCCAUAGUCAGAUGAUGUUGAGGUUGUGUCAAGUAUAAUUAAUGAUUAGAAUCAUUCCCACCUGUCCCACGUUGUUGACAGACAGUGAAUAAAGGCAGUGUUGUUGCCCCUACGAUUGAUCUAGGGAAGUUAGGGCUUGGUUUUGACUCGAGAAAUUAUUAACCUUUUGCCAAGCUCUUCUAAGCCAAUGACUUAGAGCCCUGAUGCCCUGUAUUUAUUUAUUUUAAUAAUUCUUCCACCACUCCCAGUGAGGCAUGUUAUUUUUCUUACUAUUGGAACAUUGGUACGUGGCAUAUGCGCAAACACAGGGACAGAAAUGUACACAGACCCUUCCUUUAAAGGAGAGGAGGGGAAGCCACUGUCACAUCUCCUUCUGCCCUUCUCUUUGCAGCAGUGAGGGUCUUACUCGGCGUUAAGCACUGGGAAAUGCGUCAAGGUAACAUGCAUGUGGGAAAGAACCACAUGCCACAUUCUCCUUGAGUUCACAUAAGAAGCCCCAUGUCCAAAAAAAAAAAAAAAAAAAAAAAAGCCAGGCAGUGGUGGUGCACGCCUUUAAUCCCAGUACU